Molecule: ribosomal RNA, 637 nt
Filed under: uncultured bacterium
Lineage: Bacteria
Description: bacterial SSU rRNA
Rfam family: Bacterial small subunit ribosomal RNA
Source: RNAcentral
GCUCAACUGAGGAAUUGCUUUGGAAACUGGAUGACUUGAGUGCAGUAGAGGAAAGUGGAACUCCAUGUGUAGCGGUGAAAUGCGUAGAUAUAUGGAAGAACACCAGUGGCGAAGGCGGCUUUCUGGACUGUAACUGACGUUGAGGCUCGAAAGUGUGGGUAGCAAACAGGAUUAGAUACCCUGGUAGUCCACACCGUAAACGAUGAGUGCUAGGUGUUUGAGGGUUUCCGCCCUUAAGUGCCGCAGCUAACGCAUUAAGCACUCCGCCUGGGGAGUACGACCGCAAGGUCGAAACUCAAAGGAAUUGACGGGGACCCGCACAAGCGGUGGAGCAUGUGGUUUAAUUCGAAGCAACGCGAAGAACCUUACCAGGUCUUGACAUCCCUUGACAACUCCAGAGACGGAGCGUUCCCUUCGGGGACAAGGUGACAGGUGGUGCAUGGUUGUCGUCAGCUCGUGUCGUGAGAUGUUGGGUUAAGUCCCGCAACGAGCGCAACCCUUAUUACUAGUUGCCAGCAUUUAGUUGGGCACUCUAGUGAGACUGCCGGUGACAAACCGGAGGGAGGUGGGGAUGACGUCAAAUCAUCAUGCCCCUUAUGACCUGGGCUACACACGUGCUACAAUGGCGUAUACAACG